CUCUUCUAGCAUUUGGAAGGAAGGAAAGAUUGUUUGUCAAUUUUGAUUAGAGACAAUCAUCAUAUAUGAAAGUCGCGCAGCGUUUGUUCUAUCUGUUAGGAAAUUCGUACCCCAACACCGAAAAAUACAUCAAGCACAACACAAAUAUAAAGUGCAAGAAAAUAAGAACACAAGAAUGGUCACCCAGUUCGGCCUUGAAGGCUUAAUCUGGGGGGCUCAGGUCAGCCCAAUCCACUAGUGCAAUUCUGCCUCACAGAGAGAGUGUACAGUACAUAGAACCAAGAUAGAAAACCAGAUCAAUCAUCGACCCUAAAACCGGAUCUCAAAUCUGGACAUAAACUCACAGCUUCCUCCCUAACCGGCUACAACUACAAAAACAAGACAGAUCACGCAUACAAGACCGUCCUCUAUUUACUAUAGUAUUUACAUUUAACCAGAAUCAUCCAAAUGGAGAAACAAUCUCCAGAUUCAAAGAGCCAAGAAAGGGAAAAGAAGAGUCGACCAACAGAGAGAGAAAAAAGGAGAUAUUAUCAAAACCGUAUGAAAUAAUAAUGCCACCCUUCCAGCUGGUUAUCAAAACUAAGGGCCAACUCUAGUUUAAUCUCCACCAUUCAUUUAAUCCAAUGGUCCACAUCCAACCAGAAGAAACACAGAUCCGGGUCAUAUCAAAUACACGAAUCAGGAGCUGCCACGUGAUAUCUACCAACUUAAAAUUCAGCAAAUGUCCAGAUUGCCCUCUCAUUAGUUGCUAAUUUGGAGAACCACAUUUUUUUUUUCUCCUUCAAUCUUCACCUUGGUUCUCAAAAUUGCACUCACUUUCUCAGUUGCUGAAUUGCACUAUUGUGGAAAGGCUGAACAACAUCAUUGCCUUAGGUACCUGCAAAGAAAAAUUACCCAGUAUCAAUGUUGAGAAGUGACAAACACAUUCUAAACUUACUCACAGGCAGAAUUUUUGUGCCCAUAUCAGAUAGGUUAAUGUCAGUAUGAAUUUUCUCUGACAUCAUUUCACCUAAAGAUAGUUUCUCUCUUAUGAAAUGAUACUUCACCUCAAUGUGCUUGGACCUUUCAUGAUAGACAGGGUUCUUGCUUAACAAUAAUGCACUCUGACUAUCAGUAAGAAUAACAGGUGAUGAAAAAAGAAAAUUCAGUUCACUUAAAAUUCCUUUCAGCCAUAUACAUUCUUUAACACAUUCAGUAAUUGCCACAUAUUCAGCUUCAGUACUAGAUAAAGUGACAAUUGGUUGAAGUUGAGACUUCCAUGUGAUACAGUUAUCACCAAGUGUAAAGAAAAAAGCUGUGGUAGAUUUUCUUUGAUCCUUAUCUCCAGCAAAAUCAGAAUCCACGUACCCUUUAAGGGUUAAUGGUUCUGAUCCCUUUUUGUACACUAAUCCUACACUUAGUGUCCCAGCUAUAUACCGUAAUAGCCAUUUUAAGCCAGCCCAAUGUGGUUUCCCCGAGUUUGCCAUAAACCUACUUAAAAAACUGAUUGAAUAUGCUAGAUCAGGUCGUGUUGUUAUAAUAGAAAACAUUACUGAUCCUAUUGCAUUGGAGUAAGGGAUAUUUUCCAUGUCUUUGGCCUCAGAUUCAGUUUUAGGACAUUGGGCUGAGGAGAGAUUCAUGUGAGCAGCAAGUGGAACAUUAACAGACUUAGCUUCUUUCAUGCCAAACUUAGAUAAAACUUUAUGUAGGUAAGACUCUUGGGUUAUUAUUAACCUGCCUUCUUGUCUAUUCCUAGUUAUCACCAUUCCCAGUAUUUUCUUGGCAUUCCCUAAGUCUUUCAUGUCAAAUUCAGAUUUUAGGAGGUUCUUCAUUCUUUUUAUUUUAGCUUUGCUUGAACUGGCCAGCAGCAUAUCAUCUACAUACAAGAGUAGAUAUAUCUUGCUGCCAGGUUUGAAGUUAUAGUAAUAUAAGCAAUGAUCAUACUCACUUCUCCUAAAACCAAUUUUCACAACAUAUGUGUCAAACCGAACAUACCACUGUCUUGGACUUUGUUUGAGUCCAUACAGUGAUUUCUGCAAUUUACAAACAUAAUCAGAUUUCUCCUUUUCCUCAAAACCUUGAGGUUUCUCCUUUUCCUCAAAACCUUGAGGUUGACACAUAUAGAUGUCCUCAUCCAAUUCCCCAUGCAAGAAAGCUGUUUUGACAUCUAAUUGUUCAAGUUCCCAAUUAAAUUGAACAACUAGAGCAAGUAUUAGCCUUAUUGUCUUAUAUUUGAUUACAGGUGAAAAAAUUUCAUUGUAAUCAAUUCACUCCCUUUGGGUGAACCCUUUGGCCACUAAUCUUGCCUUAUACCUUAAAGGGUCUGUUGGGGAAUUGCCUUCUUUAAGUUUAUAAAUCCACUUGCAUUGAACCACUCUCUGAUUUUUAGGUUUCUUCACAAGUUUCCAUGUUUUAUUAUCAAUCAGGGAUUUCAUUUCUUCCCUCAUGGCAUCUUUUCAAUUUUGAGAUUUAGAACAACUUAUAGCUUCAUCAUAAGUAUAAGGUUCAGCAUGUUCUAAGUUCUCACCAGUGAUAAGGGCAAAGUCUGUCAGAUUAUUAGUCUCAUAUCUUGGAUUGGGUUUAAUCUGUCUCCUUUCCCUAUCUCUCACUAAUUGAUAAUCUUGGGUACUAGUUUCAUUUUUAGGUGUCACAAUUUCAGUUUCAGUUUGGGCUGUUAUAACUUCACCUUCAUUUGUGUUGUCUGAUCUAACAUUUGGCUGUUCAUUUUCAGGUUCAGUUAUCUCAAUAGAAUUGUGACCCAAUCUUGCCAACUUCACCUCAUUCUGUGAAGUACUAUUUUCAAUUGCCUCAUGUUUAUCCCUUUUACUCUUUAAGCAUGGCAUCUCAGAUUCAUUAAACACCACAUUUCUACUGUUAAUGAUUUUAAUGCCUUUCUCACCUAGUACCCAUAACUUGUACCCUUUAACUCCUCCAGGGUACCCUAACAUGACACAUUUGGUGGCUCUAGGAUCUAACUUGCCUUCAACUUGAUGUGCAUAUGCAGCACAUCCGAAGACCCUAAUAUUAGACAGAUUUGGUGUUUUUUCAGUCCACAAUUCCUGAGAGGUCUUGAACUUUACAGAACUGCAUGGUGACCUAGUAAUUAGAUAGACUGCAGUGCAUAAAGCUUCUGCCCAAAAACCUUUUGCUAGACCAGAACUUAUUAGCAUGCAUCUAACUUUAUUUAUUAGAGUUCUGUUCAUUCUUUCAGCUACCCCAUUCUAUUGGGGAGUAUGCUUAACAGUUCUAUGCCUAAUAAUUCCCUUUUGACUGCAAAAGUUAUCAAAUUCUGCAUUACAGAAUUCCAACCCAUUAUCUGUCCUUAAGGUUUUUAAUUUUCUGCCCAAUUGAUU
Molecule: long non-coding RNA, 3332 nt
Filed under: Olea europaea (common olive)
Lineage: Eukaryota; Viridiplantae; Streptophyta; Magnoliopsida; Lamiales; Oleaceae
Description: long non-coding RNA (OEUR_LNC009983)
Source: RNAcentral